This 984-nucleotide long non-coding RNA is filed under the name Phasianus colchicus (ring-necked pheasant). Its description in RNAcentral is "lncRNA (ENSPCLG00000020025.1)". The record is from RNAcentral. Lineage: Eukaryota; Metazoa; Chordata; Aves; Galliformes; Phasianidae.
AAGGGUUUUCCGACGCGAGUUAUAACGCGACUCAUCUUGUCAUAAAGAGAUGGGUCACCCCUGGCCGGCCACCCCCAAGUAACUUUUCUUUCUCAGAGCUCUCUGUGAGAGGUGAGGAAGCACCGCUCGGUAACUCCGUAACACAUCACGGAGCGCUGCUCCUCCAACUCAUCGCGCUGCUUUCCCGUUGCAGCUCUGCUGACAGAGGCUCCCACCGCCCCGGCAGAAGGAGCCCCGCUUUGCGGAGCAGAGCUGUUUAUUGACGGACUAAUGGAAGGGAGGGAAUAACCCCGACAUCCAGCGCAGCGCAAGUUGUGAACAGAAGACGUUAAAAACUGCCGGGACCUCCGUUUUGCUAGAGAAAGGUUUAAUAUAAAUUAAGCGGGGUGACGAUUAACUAUGGCAGCAUCUGAAGCGCGAGCUAACCCUCCGUGCUGAAAGCCGAUGGUUAGAAGUAGCAGCACAACGCAAAAACCCUGUGAUUUGUUCCUGAAGUUCGUGUUUUUGCUAACAGAGCUUUGCCGGCUUCAAAGUUACAGUGAGAUAUUCCAUCACAGAAGUUCAUCUUCUGCUUUCUUUUUCUGUUCUAGGAUCUAGGAGAAUGGGUGUUGAAAGUGAGACGCAGUCAGAAAUAGGAGUAUCAGAAAAGGUGACGGAACAAGCCGAGAAAUUACAGUGCAGUCAAUCAGCCAGACCAGAUGGUAUUCAUCCGAGAGUUCUGACGGAACCAAGGACCUGCACAAGUGAGUGCUAACAAAAAUAUGUAAUUUAUCAUUAAGAACAGCUACCGUACCAGAGGACUGGAGAAUGGCCAAGGUUGUACCCAUCUCUUAGAAAGGUGCUAAUGAUGAUCCUGGGAAUUAUAAACCAGUAACUCUUGCUUCAGUACUAGGAAACUAUUCAGAGAAUUGCUGCACAUAACGUGCCGAGGCACACAGAUAGCAAGGGAAAGCUGUAGUGCUCCUACUGAAAUCCUCUCAGCCC